This 72-nucleotide transfer RNA is filed under the name Ictidomys tridecemlineatus (thirteen-lined ground squirrel). RNAcentral's name for it is "Spermophilus tridecemlineatus (thirteen-lined ground squirrel) tRNA". It matches the Rfam family "tRNA". Rfam says of the family: Transfer RNA (tRNA) molecules are approximately 80 nucleotides in length. Their secondary structure includes four short double-helical elements and three loops (D, anti-codon, and T loops). Further hydrogen bonds mediate the characteristic L-shaped molecular structure. tRNAs have two regions of fundamental functional importance: the anti-codon, which is responsible for specific mRNA codon recognition, and the 3' end, to which the tRNAs corresponding amino acid is attached (by aminoacyl-tRNA synthetases). tRNAs cope with the degeneracy of the genetic code in two manners: having more than one tRNA (with a specific anti-codon) for a particular amino acid; and 'wobble' base-pairing, i.e. permitting non-standard base-pairing at the 3rd anti-codon position. Lineage: Eukaryota; Metazoa; Chordata; Mammalia; Rodentia; Sciuridae. The record is from Rfam by way of RNAcentral.
AGGGUUGUAGCUCAGUGGUAGAGCGCUCGUCUUGCAUGCGUCGGGCACUGAGUUCAAUCCUCAGCACCCAUA